GGAGGAUAAGAAAAAAAAAAAGAAAAAAACAAGAUAGUGAAAUAUGUUGGAGGGUUCUUGCUGCAGUGCAUGUGGUUUAGUCUGAACAUCAGUAUCCAGAAAUGUGCUGUGUCCAACAAAACAAAGCAUGGAGGCUGUUUUUCCACACUUGUGUGGUAGUGGUCAUCUCUGCAGUGUUAAAGUUUCUUUUGCCCAAUGCCAUUCAACACCUCGCUGAGCCAGGUAGUUGUCCCCACAUGUCUCAAAUCCACAGCAAUCAUACCGGUACCAAAGAAAUCACCUGUCUAAAUGACUACCCAUAGCAUCCCAUAGCACUGACUCCAAUCAUGAUCAAAUGCUUUGAGAUGUUAGUCAUGCACAACAUCAGAAAUGAUGUUCCCAGCCUCCCCAACACACUCAAUCAACACACUCUAUCCAGUUUGCAUACCGUCCAAACCAUCAGUAUAGUAUAUUUAGUCAAAAUCUGUCAGUAGGUUAGUUGUGUAUAGGUUAUACUGUUUUACUUAAUAGUUGUAUGUCUGUAUUUGUGUAGCACCGUGGUCCUAUGAGGCAUGAUAUUUUGUUCCACUG
Long non-coding RNA from Carassius gibelio (silver crucian carp), 570 nucleotides. RefSeq lists it as uncharacterized. The record is from RefSeq and is a predicted model, not a curated record. NCBI's taxonomy places the organism in Eukaryota, Metazoa, Chordata, Actinopteri, Cypriniformes, Cyprinidae. The transcript is spliced from 3 exons.